Molecule: ribosomal RNA, 223 nt
Filed under: uncultured bacterium
Lineage: Bacteria
Description: partial 16S ribosomal RNA
Rfam family: Bacterial small subunit ribosomal RNA
Source: RNAcentral
UACGAAGGGGGCGUAGCGUUAUCCGGAAUUAUUGGGCGUAAAGGGUUCGCUCAGAUUGUUAUUGCUUUUUUAAGUCUAAAUAUUGAAAAAAUUACAAAGCGCUUAAAAUAAACUGUAACUAGAGAGUAAGAGAAGGUAACAGAAUUUCGUACAUAGGAGUAAAAUCCGAAAUUUACGAAGGAAUGCCAGCGGCGAAAGCGGUUUACCUAGAUUAUUUCUGACA